Molecule: long non-coding RNA, 878 nt
Organism: Contarinia nasturtii (swede midge)
Lineage: Eukaryota; Metazoa; Arthropoda; Insecta; Diptera; Cecidomyiidae
Exons: 4
Source: RefSeq, a predicted model, not a curated record
GCAACAGCACUUUAGCUUAAAUGUUUAUAUUCAAAUUGAAUAACUCAAUGCAUAAAUAUAAUCACUUUUAAAGUUGAUAUGAAUGCGACAUUCGAUUUGAUUCGAUUCGAAAAUUGCUGAGCUCACAAUUUCUGAAGCAAACAUUUUGGUAUGUUUCGUUCGAUUUAUUUUUCGAUAAACACAGAUAUUUUCAAAGAAAGAAAAGAAAAGCGCGUUUUGCCGAUGUAAGACAUUUGUCUUAAAAUUAUUAUUCACUAAGAAUAAUUGCUAUUCUUACGAAUCGACGGAAAAACUUAAAUACCUUUAUUCAAACUCUUCGAUUUUUUUUUCCUCAAAUCAACUCAACUGAAAAAAGCAAAAUGGGUUGGAAGUGGGUCUGGAAAGUGGCAAAAUACGUGGCGGCUGUCAUGACCGGAUAUGAAGUUAGUGAUUUCAUUGGGAAUGAUGGCAAAGUUGAAGACAAACUCAAUACAGUUGCUAACAGCUUGACCGUUAGUGUCACCAACGGCUUAAAUAAAGCGAACGCACAAAUCAACUCAGACAUGGCCUCCUUAAAAAUCAUAAUUUUGAUCAACGUCUUAAUUGUUUCGGCCAUCGUCGUCUUAGCCGCAAUUAUAUGGGCCAUCAUUUCAGCCAAACGUUGCUGCGCUAAGGCUGUAAAGAAAGGCCUUGACGAAGUCUAAAUGAUUAUUCAUCGUGAUGCUCUGAAGUUAAUUGCCUAACACCACGUUACAACAGUUAAUUUCGCAAAUUUAUUCAUCACAUGAAUCCAGAACGAGUAUCAUCAACAAUGGAACAAAUACAAUAAACUUUAAUCGUCAAUUUCGUUGUAUUAAUGUUUUUCAUUAAAAUAAUAAAGACAAUGAUACCGUAAAGAA